Molecule: long non-coding RNA, 2756 nt
Filed under: Podarcis lilfordi (Lilford's wall lizard)
Lineage: Eukaryota; Metazoa; Chordata; Lepidosauria; Squamata; Lacertidae
Source: RNAcentral
GGGUGAAGGGCUGACACACCACUGGGUGCUACUGUAGGCCAUAGCACUGCUUCCCCAUUCCAUUUAAAUUAGCAAGGGUCAAGAGGGUGGAGAAGUGAGAAAUUUGCAAGCCGAUGAGGAGGGGAGUAAAUUUCACAUUAUUGUCUAGGAUUGCUUCUAAUGCCCAAAUAGGAAUUUCUCAGAAUACUGACAAAGCAAAUUGGACAAUAUUGUGAAAAAAAGAGGAAACUUUCCUUGCAGGUUAAAGAAUUUUAUUUGUUUUAUCAAUAUUGCUGCCCUCUUGCCCCAGUGCUGUCCAGUUAAGCUGUAACACGGCUGUGGGGAGUUGGGAGUAUAACUCCACAGCUCUAGCCCAUCAUACUCACUGCUACUGCAUGACUGUCAAAAAGAAUAUUCAAAUCAGAACAUUAUCUGACCUAGCAAGGCAGAAGCUAGCUGGAAUAGAAAGCCAGCAGAAAACAGAAGGAGGGGAGACCAGGUGAGCCUCAUGGGGCAAGGUUCUCCACAGCCUGGAUGCUGACGCACAGAUAGGGUCUUUUCUCAGGCCCCUACCGACUUCUGCUUAAUUGGUCUUCAAAUGUGGCAUUUCUGUAACUCCCUGAACCAGGCUGGCAUUCCAAGGAAGUUCUGUUCAAGGUUUAGGCUAUAGUUCGGCAGAGAUGCAAAGGAGAAGACUGUUAGUAAGGUAGUGAAACAAAACUACAAUGCAUCAGGGGUUGGAGGGGGUCUGGGCAAAAUCCUCAGUAGGCACCCUGCAGCGAUCAACACGCCCCCCCCCCCAAAUAAGGAGGCAUAUUGUACAGGGUUUUAAGUAGGGAAGGUCAGUGAAUUCAUAAUCUUCACCCUUCCAUUUCACCCAACUUUUCUGUGAAAGCUUAUUCUCUUCCAAGGUCAUGCAGAGCUUGAUGGGUGGUUGCCCCUGGAUGUCGUGUCAAUUUGGGAACAGAGCGUCUCCCCACCAGUAGGAGAGAGUCGGUGUGGCUUUUGCCCUCCUAGGUGUGUGGCAUCAUACUGGGUUCAUAAGGAAAGGGUUAACUAAGUGUAAAAUGACUAACCUUAAAAAGCAGAGACGUCACCUUGCCAACAAAGGUCCGUAUAGUUAAAGCCAUGGUUUUCCCAGUAGAGAUGUAUGGAAGUGAGAGCUGGACCAUCAAGAAGUCUGAUCACCGAAGAAUUGAUGCUUUUGAAUUAUGGCGCUGGAGGAGACUCUUGAGAGUCCCAUGGACUGCAAGAGGAUCAAACGCAUCCAUUCUUAAGGAAAUUAGCCCUGAGUGCUCACUGGAAGGACAGAUCGUGAAGCUGAGGCUCCAAUACUUUGGCCACCUCAUGAGAAGAGAAGACUCCCUGGAAAAGACCCUGAUGUUGGGAAAGAUGGAGGGCACAAGGAGAAGGGGACGACAGAGGAUGAGAUGGUUGGACAGUGUUCUCGAAGCUACAAACAUGAGUCUGACCAAACUGUGGGAGGCAGUAGUAGACAGGAGUGCCUGGCGUGCUCUGGUCCAGGGGGUCAAGAAGAGUCGGACACGACUAAAUGACUAAACAACAACAACAAAAUGACUAACCAAUAGGAACCCAAGGGGAGGAGUUAGAGUUAGAGUGGUUAAGAAGUCAGUCUGGAGUUAGAGAAGAGAGAGGGAGGAUAAGUCUGUGGGUUGGACUAGUCUGAUGUGAGAGAGUGAGAGAAUCUGUUAAGAGGAGUCAGUCAAAUAGUUGAGAUAAUAAGUCAGAAGGUAUUAGGAAGUUAUAGGCCGGUAAAGAAACUAAGGUUAAGAAACUGACAAGAAAAUUAUCUGAGAAACCAUAAACUUGAUAACACUUAUAAAAUAAACUUGUUUAAUGUUAACAACUGUCUGGACUCAGUGUGUACCCGAGAGUAACAGGUUGGUGUCAGCGGGGAAGCGAGCACAGUGGUGGCACAGGGAUCAACAGACUGUCAAACGUCCGGGGACCCUGUGUGAUCACCAUAGUCAGUAUAGUGUAGUGGCUAAGAGACUGAUGAAUGAGGAAGUCCCUAGUUCAAGUUUUGCCUCAACUCACUAGGCGGCCUUAGGCAAGUCACUAUUUCUUAACCCCAUACAGCAAUAUGGGGGGUAAUCAUGACUGUCAUACAUAGGGUUGUUACAGGAAUUACAGCUGGAUAAUGCGUUUCAAGCACUUUGAAUAUUUAAUGCUGUGCAAAUACCCUCCUCCUCUUGUGUCUGCUUAGCUCUGGAGCGCUAGGCGAGCCGUAGACUGGCAGGAGUAGCCAUUUCAUACCUAAAGUUUGUGUCAGUAGGUUUCCAGGCCACAUCUUGUCCUGCCAAGUUUCUGGCAUAACCACAUUAAAAUAAGAUUUUUUAAAACAAGAAGUAGACAGUUAAUGAAUUCACACCUAUGAGAUCACAACCUCAUUGAAUUAAGUGAAAUUAUUUUGCCUACUAAUGAAGCCCUAUUACAAUUACCAUUUCAAUUGUGUGAGGGAGAAAACAGGGUUGCACUUAGUGGUGUUGGAGAGAGAGAUUUGGAAGAGAGAUUCUUACUCUUUGGUAGCAGAGGUAGUACAAGUACAUAAAAACUUGGUUAGAUUUGUAUCUGCCGUCAUCCUCCUUUAAACAAACAUUCCCCAUAAAAAUAUUUAGGCUAGAAUAAAUCAUAGACGCUUACCUUUGCAAAUAAGUGAAUCUUUUACUCAGAGUUUCCAGAAAUUACAGCAAGCAAGUCUCCAUCUGCUAGCAGUAAAAUGAAGAUGAAAAAAAAAGAAGGUUCAAAACAACUUC